CUCAACAGUCAACACAAGCAUCCAGUGGCACAGCACGGAUUGCGGCACCCGGAACAUCGACACCAUUCUGUACACUUUCUGCAGGACCAAGCGCACCCGCACGAACACCCAGAGCAAGCUGGCUUCGGAAAAGUGCAGCAUGGCCUCCGGCAGCAGCUGCUGCCGUCUUCACCCUCACAGCACGACGACUGGCAUUUGCAGCAGGACGACGCCCCCUUGCAGCACGAGGACUGGCACUUGAAGCACUGCUUGCAGGAGCAGCACCCAAACAGGUUGGAGCACUUGAAGGACUUGAAACAACCGAAGCAACUGAAACAGCUUGAGCACGAGCAGCAUCCCGCGCAGCUGCAACAUUGCGCGCUGAAACAGCCACAGCUUGGCUUGCAGUCGCUGGGGCAUGACCAGCAUUUCUUGCAACUGCCGCAGGGGUUGCAGCCGGAGCAACUCGGGAGGCUGCAGGUGCAGCAGUUUGGGCUGCACUGGAAUUUGCAGCACGAGAGGGUCUUGAAGCAGCUGCAGUUCGGUUUGCAGCAUGACGGAUCGCAGCACGAGCUACAGUUUGGUCUGCAGCAGGUGUUGCAGUUUGGUUUACAGCAUGAUGGACUGCCGGUGCAGCACGAGCUGCAGUUUGAACUACAGGAUGGGCAAUCUGGCUUGCAGCAUGAUAUGUCGCAACAUGAACAGCUGUUGGGCCCAAAGCAGGGUUUGUUGCAUGAUUUGCAGCUGGGCUUGCAGCAUGACAGAUCUGGGCAUGAGCAGCAGGAGCAAUCCAGGCAGCAUGGCCUUUUGCAGCUGGGCAAGCAAUGGCAGGAGCAACAGAACCAUGACACGCAUAUGCACAAUUUUGAUCUGCGUGGAGGGACAAACAGUAAGCUCAGAAACUGCACAAAUUCAAUAUGCA
RNAcentral lists this unclassified non-coding RNA (901 nucleotides) under Zea mays. RNAcentral describes it as "misc RNA Zm00001eb100240". Lineage: Eukaryota; Viridiplantae; Streptophyta; Magnoliopsida; Poales; Poaceae. The record is from RNAcentral.